RNAcentral lists this long non-coding RNA (405 nucleotides) under Chinchilla lanigera (long-tailed chinchilla). RNAcentral's name for it is "lncRNA (ENSCLAG00000024103.1)". Lineage: Eukaryota; Metazoa; Chordata; Mammalia; Rodentia; Chinchillidae. The record is from RNAcentral.
UGAAAUAUCAAAGAUUCCAAAUGGGUGACGUUUGGAGGACCAUGAAAUAUUCUGAAGGAGGAGGCAAAAGUGUGCAGAAUUCUGACUUGCUGCAAUGAAAAUGGAGCUCAGAGCUGCAUCUUAGGCCUCAACCGAGCAGAGCUUGAAAAACACAUAUAUUUAAAAAGUCCUUGGAGAUAAACAGCGUCAAAGACCUCUAGAAGAAUGACUUCAGUCAAAGAAAACUCAUCAGUGGGCCAGUUCCAGCUGCUGUGUCAUUGGUUUUCAGUCUUAGGUCAAAAGCAGUGCCUGCAUCAUGAAGAUGGGGAAACUGAGGCCCAGAAAUGAGAAGAGAAUUGUUGAGGUAAAAAUCAAUCCAUUUUAGACUAAGCUGGAGUCACACUCAUUAGUAUGCCUUAUAGUUUC